Long non-coding RNA from Cyprinus carpio carpio, 1806 nucleotides. Lineage: Eukaryota; Metazoa; Chordata; Actinopteri; Cypriniformes; Cyprinidae. The record is from Ensembl.
UGAACAUAAACUCUAUACAUUUAAUAUACUUUACAUAUUCUAACACAAUUACACAGUCCUAUGAAUGAAAUAAAGAAAAACAGCAUUUUAGUGCAGACUAGAGCUGCUGACUGUCCUGAUGUCAGAUUCUGAUUCUGUCCUGUGUGUGUGUGUGUGUGUGUGUGUCUGCGCUUGCGCAUUUUGCUCCCCAUGUGCCUUCCUUGCCCUUAUUUGGUUAUCUUCCUGUUUCUGCUCCCUGAAUGUUUUCAAUUUGUUUCCAGGUGUGUCUCAUCUUCCCCUGAUUGAGUUCUAUUCUUAAGAAGUGUUUUGUUCAGUAUUGAUCGUCAACUCCUCAGUCUACGUAUGUGAUCCUGCCGGUUUUCCUCGUUGUUUGCAAGAAUAAAUACCUUUUAUGUUAAUCCCCUUGAUUUCUGCACUCCUUCGUCUCCUCGUCUCUGCCACAGAAGCCGCUCGGUUCUCCACCUUAGCCUGCCGAGAUCUCCCUUUCUACAAGUACGACUGGGAAUUCUGCAGGCUCGCCGUGGCAUUGGCAUUAGAUGAUGCCACCAUCAAUUCUCUGUUCUGGCUUGGGGUCAACUACCAUCGCCCCUGGGGAGUGUCCAGAACCAGCGUCGAGCCUGUCGGCCCCCCGAGUCAAGCCCGCCAGCCAUUCCUCAGUCAAGCCCGCCGACCGCCGCAGUGGGGAGGCCAAGGCCAUGGAGGCCGUCCGGUCUUGGCCUUCAGAGUUCCCUGCUCUGCCGUGGCCUCCUGAACUGCCUGCUCCGCCAUGGCCCCCUGAGUUCCAUGCUCUGUCGUGGCCUCCUGAACUGCCUGCUCCGCAAGGCCCCCUGAGUUCCCUGCUCCACCAUGGCCUCCUGAACUGCCUGCUCGCCAUGUCCCCCUGACUUCCCUUCUCCGCCAUGGCCUCCUAAUCUGCCUGCUUGGCCAUGGCUCCCCGUGCUCCCUGCUCCACCAUGGCCUCCUGAACUGCCUGAUCUUCCAUGUCCCCCUGAGUUCCGAACUUCACCAUGGCUUCCUGAACUGCUUGCUCUGCCAUGGCCCCCUAAGUUCCCUACUCCACCAUGGCCUCCUGAACUGCCUGCUCCGCCACGGUCACCAUGGCCUCCUGAACUGCCUGCUCCGCCAUGGCCGCCUGAGUUCCGAACUGCACCAUGGCCUCCUGAACUGCCUGAUCUCCCAUGUCCCCCUGAGUUCCCUACUCCAACAUGGCCUUCUGAGCUGCCUGCACUGCCAUGGUGCCCAGACCUGGUACUGCCAUAUGAGUCUGUCCUGAGGGACCUCCAAGGCACCCCCUCCCACCCUACUGAUGUUAUGUAGUGUGAGGACACGCCUUCCGGAGGGGGGCCUUAUGUCAGACUCUGUUUCUGUCGUGUGUGUGUGUGUGUGUGUGUGUGUGUGUGUGUAUGUGUAUGUAUGUAUGUGUGUGUGUGUGUGUGUGUGUGUGUGUGUGUGUGUGUUUUGCUCCCCAUGUGCCUUCCUUGCCCUUAUUUGGUUAUCUUCCUGUUCCUGCUCCCUGAUUGUUUUCAAUUUGUUUCCAGGUGUGUCUCGUCUUCCCCUGAUUGAAUUCUAUUCUUAAGAAGUGUUUUGUUCUAGUUCUUUGUCCGGUAUUGAUCAUCAACCCUUCAAUCUACAUGUGUGAUCCUGCCUGUGUUCCUCAUUGUUUGUGAGAAUAAAUUCCUUUGAUAUCAAUCCCCUUGGUUUCCGCACUCCUUUGUCUCCUCGUCUCCACCACAGUAGGCGACCCGUGACACCUGAGCAGUUCACUCUGAUAUAUUGGCCAGUGUGGCAGCAUUCGCUGGAGCUCAG